AGCUCCAAUAGCGUAUAUUAAAGUUGCUGCAGUUAAAAAGCUCGUAGUUGGAUUUCUGGCUUGGUUUCCCUGGCCCGCCACGGUUACGUGUGUGAGUGCCGGUGGAAAUCUGCCAUCAUUCUAGGUUGCAUUCAUACUCUUAACUGAGCCGUGAGUGCGAUCUAGAUCUUUUACUUUGAAAAAAUUAGAGUGUUUCAAGCAGGCGUUUGCUAUGAAUACAUUAGCAUGGAAUAAUAAUUUAGGACUUCGGUUCUAUUUUGUUGGUUUCUAGAAUGGAAGUAAUGAUUGAUAGGGAUAGUUGGGGGUGCUAGUAUUCAGUGGCCAGAGGUGAAAUUCUCGGAUUCACUGAAGACUAACUUAUGCGAAAGCAUUCACCAAGGAUGUCUUCU
RNAcentral lists this ribosomal RNA (389 nucleotides) under uncultured Cercozoa. Its description in RNAcentral is "bacterial SSU rRNA". It matches the Rfam family "Eukaryotic small subunit ribosomal RNA", at positions 587 to 972 of the family's 1831-position model. Lineage: Eukaryota; Cercozoa. The record is from RNAcentral.